RNAcentral lists this ribosomal RNA (553 nucleotides) under Colletotrichum kahawae. RNAcentral describes it as "eukaryotic LSU rRNA". The stretch from base 203 to 356 matches the Rfam family "5.8S ribosomal RNA". RNAcentral also lists the same sequence under 2 other names. The record is from RNAcentral. Lineage: Eukaryota; Fungi; Ascomycota; Sordariomycetes; Glomerellales; Glomerellaceae.
UCCGUUGGUGAACCAGCGGAGGGAUCAUUACUGAGUUUACGCUCUACAACCCUUUGUGAACAUACCUAUAACUGUUGCUUCGGCGGGCAGGGUCUCCGUGACCCUCCCGGCCUCCCGCCCCCGGGCGGGUCGGCGCCCGCCGGAGGAUAACCAAACUCUGAUUUAACGACGUUUCUUCUGAGUGGUACAAGCAAAUAAUCAAAACUUUUAACAACGGAUCUCUUGGUUCUGGCAUCGAUGAAGAACGCAGCGAAAUGCGAUAAGUAAUGUGAAUUGCAGAAUUCAGUGAAUCAUCGAAUCUUUGAACGCACAUUGCGCCCGCCAGCAUUCUGGCGGGCAUGCCUGUUCGAGCGUCAUUUCAACCCUCAAGCUCUGCUUGGUGUUGGGGCCCUACGGCUGACGUAGGCCCUCAAAGGUAGUGGCGGACCCUCCCGGAGCCUCCUUUGCGUAGUAACUUUACGUCUCGCACUGGGAUCCGGAGGGACUCUUGCCGUAAAACCCCCAAUUUUCCAAAGGUUGACCUCGGAUCAGGUAGGAAUACCCGCUGAACUUA